UACGGGGGGGGCAAGCGUUGUUCGGAAUUACUGGGCGUAAAGGGCGCGUAGGCGGUUCGCUAAGUUGAAUGUGAAAACUCUGGGCUUAACCCAGAGCCUGCAUUCAAUACUGGCGGGCUAGAGUUCUGGAGGGGAUAGCGGAAUUCCUGGUGUAGCGGUGAAAUGCGUAGAUAUCGGGAGGAACACCGAUGGCGAAGGCAGGUCUCUGGGCCACUACUGACGCUGAGAAGCGAAAGCAUGGGGAGCGAACAGG
This 253-nucleotide ribosomal RNA is filed under the name uncultured bacterium. RNAcentral's name for it is "partial 16S ribosomal RNA". It matches the Rfam family "Bacterial small subunit ribosomal RNA", at positions 524 to 776 of the family's 1533-position model. The record is from RNAcentral.